UACUCGAGUGGCGAACGGGUGAGUAACACGUGGGUGAUCUGCCCUGCACUUCGGGAUAAGCUUGGGAAACUGGGUCUAAUACCGGAUAGGAGCCAUCUUUAGUGUGGCGGUUGGAAAGUUUUUCGGUGUAGGAUGAGCUCGCGGCCUAUCAGCUUGUUGGUGGGGUAAUGGCCUACCAAGGCGGCGACGGGUAGCCGGCCUGAGAGGGUGUACGGCCACAUUGGGACUGAGAUACGGCCCAG
Molecule: ribosomal RNA, 242 nt
Filed under: uncultured Actinomycetales bacterium
Lineage: Bacteria; Bacillati; Actinomycetota; Actinomycetes; Actinomycetales
Description: partial 16S ribosomal RNA
Rfam family: Bacterial small subunit ribosomal RNA
Source: RNAcentral